UGGGAAUUUUGGACAAUGGGCGCAAGCCUGAUCCAGCCAUGCCGCGUGCGGGAAGAAGGCCUUCGGGUUGUAAACCGCUUUUGUCAGGGAAGAAAUCUUCUGAGUUAAUACCUCGGGAGGAUGACGGUACCUGAAGAAUAAGCACCGGCUAACUACGUGCCAGCAGCCGCGGUAAUACGUAGGGUGCAAGCGUUAAUCGGAAUUACUGGGCGUAAAGCGUGCGCAGGCGGUUUUGUAAGACAGAGGUGAAAUCCCCGGGCUCAACCUGGGAACUGCCUUUGUGACUGCAAGGCUUGAGUGCGGCAGAGGGGGAUGGAAUUCCGCGUGUAGCAGUGAAAUUGCGUAGAUAUGCGGAGGAACACCGAUGGCGAAGGCAAUCCCCUGGGCCUGCACUGACGCUCAUGCACGAAAGCGUGGGGAGCAAACAGGAUUAGAUACCCUGGUAGUCCACGCCCUAAACGAUGUCAACUGGUUGUUGGGAAGGUUCCUUCUCAGUAACGUAGCUAACGCGUGAAGUUGACCGCCUGGGGAGUACGGCCGCAAGGUU
Molecule: ribosomal RNA, 547 nt
Filed under: uncultured bacterium
Lineage: Bacteria
Description: partial 16S ribosomal RNA
Rfam family: Bacterial small subunit ribosomal RNA
Source: RNAcentral